This 946-nucleotide long non-coding RNA is filed under the name Anas platyrhynchos platyrhynchos (common mallard). RNAcentral describes it as "lncRNA (ENSAPLG00000028331.1)". The record is from RNAcentral. Lineage: Eukaryota; Metazoa; Chordata; Aves; Anseriformes; Anatidae.
AUGGCCACCAUCGGCUCCACGGUCUGCUUGGAGCAGCCUGCGGGGUGCUUGUGGGGUCGGAGGGGCCUGAUGGGGUCUGCAGAGCUCAGCUGGGACCACCCCAAGCUCGCCCUGUGCCCCCCAAUGGGGCCGGGCUGUCCGCAUCCAUCCCUGACACCUCCGCUCCUCCAUCCCACAGAGCCCGGCCCCGGCACUGAGCGGGGCAUGGACGGCCCCGAAAUCUUCCUGGGCCCCUGCGAGGGAGCCCUCUGCGGGGUCCCGGGGCAGAAGCGCCGCUGCAUGUCGGCCCUGGAGCCCGUCACUGUGCCCAGCCCCAAAUCCGAGGCCAGCUGGGGCGAGGAGGAGGAGGAAGAGGAGGAAGAUGAAGAGGAUGAAGAGCGGUCCCGGGGGGUGCCGCUGCGGCGAGCCUGUGCCCUGCGGACCUCGAUGCGCAGCCGGGACCCGUUCCGACGGCACAGCUGGGAGCCGGGCAAGGAGCUGCGCGGGGUCCCCGGCUACGACCAGCUCAGCGUGAGCCUCAAGGGGCUGAGCCCCGACGACAUCGACUCCAGCACGGAGCAGCUGGACGGGCUGGGGAGACGCCGGUGGGACCCCCGGAGAGCCCCCCUGAUCCACAGCACCGAGUCCCUGCUGUCCCUGGACGAGGAGGACGAGGCCGAUCUGCAGCGGGCGCAGGAGGACGCGCGGAGGCUUCAGGUGUACGGGGCCAGGAGCGCCGGCGGCUGCGCCCUCGCCAAAUCCGCGUCCCUCAGCGUCAUCGACAGCUUCCCCCCCGCCGUGGGUGAGUGCCAGCGCCCGCAGGGAUGGGUGGGGGUUUUGGGGCGAUGGGACCCCCGCCCCUCCUUUAAUUCGGGCCCCCUCUCUUGCAGAAAUUUCCCCCUUCGCCUCCCAGCAGAGCCUGGCCAACGGGUGAGUGUGGGGGCUGCGGGGGGCGCAGGGGGGUGUG